RNAcentral lists this unclassified non-coding RNA (227 nucleotides) under Hevea brasiliensis (rubber tree). Lineage: Eukaryota; Viridiplantae; Streptophyta; Magnoliopsida; Malpighiales; Euphorbiaceae. The record is from RNAcentral.
AAGAGAUCCCUAUUUGAAGAAUGAUUAGCAUACGAAGUCUUAACCAUUUUGAAUGACCUUAUCAUAUUAAAGGCGAUGGUUGUUUAUUCAGAAGUUCCUUUCCUCUUUUUCAUUUAAAUUAGUUUUGCAUUUGAUUUCACAAUUCAGACUAAUAAAAGCAGUAAAUGAGGGAAUGAGAACAUGCCCUGAGGCUUAGGUUGCUAUGAGUGCUGUCAGUAACUUGGAUU